RNAcentral lists this ribosomal RNA (323 nucleotides) under uncultured bacterium. Its description in RNAcentral is "bacterial SSU rRNA". It matches the Rfam family "Bacterial small subunit ribosomal RNA", at positions 28 to 334 of the family's 1533-position model. The record is from RNAcentral.
GAUGAACGCUGGCGGCGUGCUUAACACAUGCAAGUCGAGCGAAGCGCUUUUGCGGAUUUCUUCGGAUUGAAGCAAUUGUGACUGAGCGGCGACGGGUGAGUAACGCGUGGGUAACCUGCCUCAUACAGGGGGAUAACAGUUGGAAACGGCUGCUAAUACCGCAUAAGCGCACAGUGCUGCAUGGCACAGUGUGAAAAACUCCGGUGGUAUGAGAUGGACCCGCGUCUGAUUAGCUAGUUGGUGGGGUAACGGCCUACCAAGGCGACGAUCAGUAGCCGGCCUGAGAGGGUGAACGGCCACAUUGGGACUGAGACACGGCCCAA